This 1865-nucleotide long non-coding RNA is filed under the name Equus caballus (horse). Its description in RNAcentral is "lncRNA (ENSECAG00000044313.1)". The record is from RNAcentral. Lineage: Eukaryota; Metazoa; Chordata; Mammalia; Perissodactyla; Equidae.
CAAGCUCUGGCGUUCCUGCUUGAUACCUUAAGACCAGAAAGUGGAGCAUAUGAUCAAGACUUCAGUCUUGCUGCCCAAGAGAGCACCCCUUACCUGCCAGACUCUGAGUUCCCUUGCCCAGAACCUGGAAGGCUCCAUACAUACUUGAGAGGUGAUGGGACUAUGGAAAUCAGGAGUUCUACUCACCUCACAUCCAGACACAGUAUGGUUCUCCACUCCUGCCCUAAUGCUCAGGUCCCUUUCAUCCAAAAGUGUGUGUUGUGGGUGGAGGUGAUGGUGUAAUUGCCACAGACUACGAUGUAAAUGGCAGAGUCAUGCCAUGUGGUGGCCCUGGUCUUGAAAGACAUUGAAGAGUUUGCCAUUUAGAGAGGGCAGAAGUGGCCAGGCUUGCCAAACAGAGAGCAGUGUGUGGGAAGGCCGAGGGCUUUGACGUGUCAUGAAGAGAAGUUCAACUGCAUGGGGCGCCUGGGGGUGUGAGGGGAUAACUGGAUGUGGCUGGAUUGUGAAAGGCCUUGAAGACCGCGUGAAGGAGGACUGUGGGAAGUCAAAAGCAGGGGUGAGCAAGGGAAGAGAGCAAGAAAUGGGCAAAGCCAGGACCAGGCCCUGACAGAGGAUGAGCAAUCACCCACCAAGAUGGGGUGAACUGGUCCAGCAGAGAAUUAGAAGCACAUCCUUGAGGAGAUCACAGCCAGAUUCAUCAGAUGCCCUCAGCCCCGGGCCCUGGCCAGCCCAGACAUCCCCAGUCAGAGCAACUGGAUUGCCAGGGCUGUACUUCCUGCCCUAGCUGUACGUUUUCCCCUGGUGUGGCUGAGAGUGGAUAGCGAACAGGAGACCUACGGUUUCCAAAGAAAAGGGUGCAGCUGAGGCUAAACCAAGAAAGGAAGUGGCAGCACUUUGCUGAGAAGAGCUGGUCCGCAGCUGCUUGACUCAGAGCUGCCAGCUCAGUUCACAGCCGACAGACAGCCCUGGGUGGAGGAUGAGCUUGGGCGACGAAAGCCUGUGUCCACGUCCCAGCUCCACCACCUCCUAGGGAUGGGCAAGCUGCUUAACCUCUGGAGGCCUCCGUUUUCUCAUGUGUAAGAUGAGGACAGUGGUAGUCCCUACCUCGUAGGGCUACAAGAAGAGAAAAUGACAUAUUGCAGAGAGCACAAAUAAGAGUGAAUUAUCAUUGUUAACUUUUCCUUCUCUUUUCAUCUUCAUGGGACUCAGACCCACUAUGUGCAUUUAUAUUAGAAGCGGAGAGGAAAGGGGUAUUGAGUCUCCUACCGAGUCUCUGCCUGAGGCUUCCCGCUAAUGACCCUCUUAAUCUCCCCGGCCCCACAAGGAGUGCAGUUAAGAUCUCUCACUGGCAGGGAAGCUGUAACUCAGAGAAGCUGAGUCUCUCGUGUAAGAUCCUCAGCUAACUGGAGGCAGAAAAAGAAUUCUGUUCAUCCCCCAAAUUCCUGCCCAUUUCAUCAGUCAGGGUACGAGGAACCCCGAGAGAGGGAGGCUGGAAAGGAUUUUAACGAGGCAGGAUCGCAUGGGGGGCAGGAGAGUUGGGGCGGCGUUCCCAUACGACACAUCCUACCCGCUCUCUAACAGGGCUUAGCCGUCUCCUGUACAAAGUGGAGACGGGGCAGCCCAGCAGGAGAGCGGCGUGCGCGUGCGUGUGACUGGGGGAGCGCCAUCUGACUGGUGGUGCCUCAUUUCACAAGUGCAUUAUUUCCUGACAGUCCUCUGUACCUUUAUUAUGGUUGAUGCUUCAAAUGCUCAAGCACAAAGGAAGGUGGCAAGUCAGGAGUCUCCUGUCACAGUUGGAAAUUUGAAGACAUUGGUCUGUAUUUAUUUGUUUAUUGUCUGCCUUCUAUGUGCCAGAUACUGGGCCU